GUCUCAAAGAUUAAGCCAUGCAUGUCUAAGUAUGAAUGUUUUUGUACUGUGAAACUGCGAAUGGCUCAUUAAAUCAGUUAUAGUUUACUUGAUGGUAACCGUACUCGGAUAACUGUACCAAUUGUAGAGCUAAUACGUGCACCAAGUCCCGACUUCUGGAAGGGAUGUAUUUAUUAGAUACAAAGCCAAUGCGGGCUCCGGCCCGGUACAGUUGGCGAGUCAUGAUAACUGCUCGAAUCGCAUGGCCGUGCGCCGGCGAUGGUUCAUUCAAAUUUCUGCCCUAUCAACUUUCGAUGGUAGGGUAUUGGCCUACCAUGGUUACAACGGGUAACGGAGAAUUAGGGUUCGAUUCCGGAGAGGGAGCCUGAGAAACGGCUACCACAUCCAAGGAAGGCAGCAGGCGCGCAAGUUACCCAAUCCCGACUCGGGGAGGUAGUGACAAUAAAUAACAAUGCUGGGCUAUUUUGGUCUGGCAAUUGGAAUGAGAACAAUCUAAAUCCCUUAACGAGGAACAAUUGGAGGGCAAGUCUGGUGCCAGCAGCCGCGGUAAUUCCAGCUCCAAUAGCGUAUAUUAAAGUUGUUGCAGUUAAAAGCUCGUAGUUGGGUUUCGGAGCGGUCAGGCUGGUCCGCCGAGAGGCGAGUACUGGCCGGCCGCUCUUCCUCUCGGAGUCCCUGUCUGCUCUUUGUUGCAGNGGGCAGGGAAUUCGGGACGUUUACUUUGAAAAAAUUAGAGUGUUCAAAGCAGGCGAUUGCUUGAAUACAUUAGCAUGGAAUAAUGGAAUAGGACCUCGGUCCUAUUUCGUUGGUUUUUAGGACCGAAGUAAUGAUUAAUAGGGACAGUUGGGGGCAUUCGUAUUUAAUUGUCAGAGGUGAAAUUCUUGGAUUUAUGAAAGACGAACCACUGCGAAAGCAUUUGCCAAGGAUGUUUUCAUUAAUCAAGAACGAAAGUUAGGGGUUCGAAGACGAUCAGAUACCGUCCUAGCCCUAACCAUAAACUAUGCCGACUAGGGAUCAACGCAUGUUAUUGAAUGACUCCGUUGGC
Molecule: ribosomal RNA, 1042 nt
Filed under: Cacospongia sp. G02x31
Lineage: Eukaryota; Metazoa; Porifera; Demospongiae; Dictyoceratida; Thorectidae
Description: SSU rRNA
Rfam family: Eukaryotic small subunit ribosomal RNA
Source: RNAcentral